CUGCAGUCAGUAAAGCCAGCUAAACCCCUUCCCCCUUGCAGUCUGGAGUACAGAAUCUGUAUAUAGCAGCUUUCUUUGGAGUGUCUGCAGCAUGUUGCUCAUAGGUGUUGUCCUAAAGGACCUUGGAGAUUGCC
This is a small nucleolar RNA of Sorex fumeus (smoky shrew), 134 nucleotides long. RefSeq annotates it as small nucleolar RNA SNORA70. The record is from RefSeq and is a predicted model, not a curated record. The transcript has a single exon. Lineage: Eukaryota; Metazoa; Chordata; Mammalia; Eulipotyphla; Soricidae.